AUUGUUGAUUGCUCAAGAAAAAUAUAUUAAGGAGUAUAAUGGUCUAAACCGCAACAAGAUAAGAUAUACACAACAGCUCUAUAUAAUAAGAGCAAGUGCCUGGGAACAAGUACGGAGAUAUGGGGUCGAUAAAAUCCAUGAUUGGGCAAUACGCACGCCCAGUUGCUGUUGCAGUGGUACUGGUUGCAAUCAGCCUGGCUGUGGUCUUCAUCUUUUGCAGACAAAAUGGUUACCGACAGAAUCGUCGACUAAAUAUACCACCUCACAUUGUACAAGCUAUUGACGAGGGGGAUGGGGGUGUCAUGGUGAUAGGUCGAUGACGGUAUGCCUACGUCCGCCCACAACACUCGAUUGACACAACGAAACACUGUAUACCACCUUAAAAUUAAUUAUAGAUUUAUAUUACAAAAAGUCAUCUUAUUCAUUUGAGUUCUGAAUCAUUCAGUAUCAAAUGUGACACUAAAAUUAUAUACCUGCCUGUAUAAUAUGUAUAUCUCUCACUGCUACUGCUGUGUAAUUAUAAUUAUGGAUAUACUACAUAAAAGGAUCGCCAAAUAUCAAAGUGUUAUCACAUCAACCACAUUAUAAUUAAAAGAAAACCACGAAAGAUCUUCAGAUUCACU
Halichondria panicea is the source of this 623-nucleotide long non-coding RNA. RefSeq lists it as uncharacterized. The record is from RefSeq and is a predicted model, not a curated record. The transcript has 3 exons. Lineage: Eukaryota; Metazoa; Porifera; Demospongiae; Suberitida; Halichondriidae.